AUGGAGGUCAGCGACGAAGAGAGCGUGACCGGCCCCGCCCGCACGCCGGACACGGACUCGGAGCCGGAGCAGCCGGACCCCGCCGCGGCCCCAGCGGCUAUCGCGCCGUACCCCGGGGACAUCGACGACGAGACCGAGGCCGACCUCGCCCGCCUGCUGGACUCCUCGGAGCAGCCUGACCCCGCCGCGCUCCGGGCGGGUAUGGAGCCGUACCUCGGGGACAUCGACCGAUACAUGCGGUCCCUGGAGGCAUCGAGGAGGCCGAGGGAUGACUAUAUCUGGACAACACAGGAAGAUAUCAAUCCCAAGAUGAGGGCGGUCCUAGUUGACUGGCUGGUGGACGUGUCUUGUACAUUCAGGCUUCCUGCUGACACACUUCACCUUGCAGUUUCAUAUGUCGACCGCUUCCUCACAGCAAGUGUCAUUAAAUGGCACGAGUUGCAAUUACUUGGUGUGACCGCAUUGCUUGUUGCUGCGAAAUAUGAAGAUGACAUAUUUGUGCAUGAGGUCCAAAGAUACAGGGGCGUUACUGCCAACACGUACACCACGAAGCAGGUUGUGAAGAUGGAGACUGACAUACUGAAAUCUCUUAACUUUGAGAUGGGGAGUCCUACUGCAAGAACUUUUCUACGGAGAUACAUAACUGUUUGCCGCGGACGCGAUCGCGCAAAAGCAAAGAAGCUGGAGUUUCUGUGUAGCUACCUUGCAGAAUUGAGCUUGCUGGACUAUGACUGCAUACAGUUCAAUCCAUCAGUUGUUGCUGCUGCCUGCCUUUUUUUGGCCAGGUUCACAAUCAGCCCAACUGCCCGUCCUUGGAACCUGACGCUGCAAAGGAACACGAAAUACAAGGUCUCUGAUCUCAAGUCUUGCAUCUUGAUGAUACACAAAUUGCAGUUGAAUGGAUAUCCGGGCCUGAAAGAAGACGCCAUCAAAGUCAAGUAUAAUGAUCGCGAGCUUGAGCAUGUGUCGGCAAUGGAUCCACCUGAAAAUAUCCCUCUGCGUUUCCUCAAGGACAUCGGACAGUGA
RNAcentral lists this ribosomal RNA (1026 nucleotides) under Triticum aestivum (bread wheat). Its description in RNAcentral is "partial small subunit ribosomal RNA". Lineage: Eukaryota; Viridiplantae; Streptophyta; Magnoliopsida; Poales; Poaceae. The record is from RNAcentral.